UGUUGACCUCGGAUCAGGUAGGAAUACCCGCUGAACUUAAGCAUAUCAAUAAGCGGAG
This 58-nucleotide ribosomal RNA is filed under the name Fusarium sp. Its description in RNAcentral is "partial 28S ribosomal RNA". It matches the Rfam family "Eukaryotic large subunit ribosomal RNA", at positions 1 to 55 of the family's 3401-position model. Lineage: Eukaryota; Fungi; Ascomycota; Sordariomycetes; Hypocreales; Nectriaceae. The record is from RNAcentral.